This 587-nucleotide long non-coding RNA is filed under the name Nicotiana benthamiana. RNAcentral describes it as "long non-coding RNA (NBEN_LNC011471)". Lineage: Eukaryota; Viridiplantae; Streptophyta; Magnoliopsida; Solanales; Solanaceae. The record is from RNAcentral.
UUUCGAAGAACCCAAAAAAAUGAGAAAGACUUCAAAAAGUUACCGAGCUAAUAAAAAAAGUCAAGGAUCUGACUCGAACAACUAUGGAUGGUUGAAAAGAGACCAUGGAUAGAAGUUGAUCAAGGUCUGGACUAUAUCUCUUUGAGAUUUUUCCCUGAAAUCACGAAAACAGGCAACCAGUAGACAUAUGAGACUAGUAUACAUCUCAAAUAUCCAUGGGAGUCCAUGGAUUGGGUGAGGAUCAAAGUGGAAUAGGGCUAGUUUGGGUAGCGGUGGCUAGGGUUAGAUUUAUGUUUCAAAGCGAGUUUGAGAGGAGAAGGGAUUCAAGGACAGCGGACCGUGACAAAUGAAUUAGGUUAGGGCUCGCUUUGGGUUAAAAAUGGUAAGGGGAAAAAGGGACCGUUGAUCUGAAUGAUCAACGGUCAUGAUCAAAUGGGUAGGUAGGGAUCUGGUUUGGGAAUUGGGUUAGGGUUAGAUUUAAAGUGGAAUAGGCUGGGGAAUUGGGUUAAGGUCAGAAAAAAAAAUUUAAAAAUAUAGGAUCCAAUUUUAUGAAUAUAAAACCUAAUUAAACCUUAAAAAGGACUAAU